Long non-coding RNA from Sarcophilus harrisii (Tasmanian devil), 1256 nucleotides. RefSeq lists it as uncharacterized. Lineage: Eukaryota; Metazoa; Chordata; Mammalia; Dasyuromorphia; Dasyuridae. The transcript is spliced from 2 exons. The record is from RefSeq and is a predicted model, not a curated record.
UGCCAUGGCUGGAGCAGCACAUAGAAGCCAUUCCAACAGACAUGCCAAUGAAUGUUCCGGGUCAGUAAGUGACGAAGAAUAUCUGGGCCAUUUAAAGCAACAGGGUUCAUGUAAGCGCAGACGCCAGCACAUCUAAUGGAAAUGGGUCAGAUUCUAUGCUUAGGAAGAGAGAAGAAGCACAGGAAACUUAAUGGCCACGGUGACAUAUGACCUCAGCUUCCCUUCAAAAAAUCUGCAGUCUACAAUCAAAAAAAGGGAGGGGGUGCCUUUGGAACACUUGGUUCUCCCACCCAUCCAAGCUAAAUAGUGAUCACAAGGUUUCUAGUCAGAUUCUUAAUUGUUGCAGUGCAUUCUGAGAGUCCCACUAAACAGCAAGUUUUGUUUUGUAUGGUUGGCAGUGAUGAAUAUUCUUUUGGAAGCUGGGAAAAGGCAUGGCCUUUUUUCAUCCCUAAUGUCUAUGAUUCAAUUCUGACUCAAAAGGAAGUGUGCCACUGACUGAAUCACCAAAACCACUUCCUGUGGCUGUUUAGUUUAUUCUGGGAGGGCAUCAGGCCAAGGGCUGGCCUGCCCUGACCCUGGUGGGUUUGUUGGAGCCAAAAAAGAUCCCAGCCUAAGGUGGUUUGGCCACAGAUUUCCCAAGAAGAGAAUAUAUUCAGUCGUAAGUAUUUAGUUUCUUAGCAAGGGGUCAAGCAACAUGGAAAUGAACAUGUGUUUGAAAACAAGACAGGUUCAUUCCUCAACCUGGACACUAUUAAUUUUUCUAAUGAUAGGAAUUCUAAUGAGGCAUGGAAUAUUACCUUUUGUAAAGGAUUGAAGUUGUAAGUCACCCAAAGAGGCCUAGAGAUACUAUGACACAGACUUAGCAAGGAAUUGCACAAAAAUAUUGGGAAGACUAUCUUCAAAUAAGUCUAUGUGCAAUCAAGGGGAAAAAAUGGUAACAAAAGGAGAGCAAGAGAUAACUGAUGAACAGCCCAUAUUCUUCAUUGAUCUCCAUGCAUGAUCUCCAUGGCUAAAGUCAAGAAAUCUAGAGGGAAAAUCCUUAACAUGUUGGACAGACUCCUUCUAGUGCAUUUGUGGGAGAAGAUGGACAAGAGCAUCAGGAUGGGCAAACAAAGAUAGGUUGUAAUGGGCAUUGUUGGAGACAGUAACCACAAUUAUAGGAUCACAGAUUCAUCAUUUUGCAUACCCUUUGAUCAGUAAUGUCUCUGCUGAUUCUGUAUAAUAAAUCAAAGAAAUCAUAAAAAAAAAAAAAAAAA